RNAcentral lists this ribosomal RNA (795 nucleotides) under uncultured bacterium. RNAcentral describes it as "bacterial SSU rRNA". It matches the Rfam family "Bacterial small subunit ribosomal RNA", at positions 8 to 796 of the family's 1533-position model. The record is from RNAcentral.
AGAGUUUGAUCCUGGCUCAGAUUGAACGCUGGCGGCAUGCCUUACACAUGCAAGUCGAACGGCAGCACAGGUGCUUGCACCGGGUGGCGAGUGGCGAACGGGUGAGUAACACAUCGGAACGUGUCCUGGAGUGGGGGAUAGGCCGGCGAAAGCCGGGUUAAUACCGCAUACGAUCUGAGGAUGAAAGCGGGGGACCUUCGGGCCUCGCGCUCAAGGAGCGGCCGAUGGCGGAUUAGCUAGUUGGUGGGGUAAAGGCCCACCAAGGCGACGAUCCGUAGCUGGUCUGAGAGGACGACCAGCCACACUGGGACUGAGACACGGCCCAGACUCCUACGGGAGGCAGCAGUGGGGAAUUUUGGACAAUGGGGGCAACCCUGAUCCAGCAAUGCCGCGUGUGUGAAGAAGGCCUUCGGGUUGUAAAGCACUUUUGUCCGGAAAGAAAACUUCGUCCCUAAUAUGGAUGGAGGAUGACGGUACCGGAAGAAUAAGCACCGGCUAACUACGUGCCAGCAGCCGCGGUAAUACGUAGGGUGCGAGCGUUAAUCGGAAUUACUGGGCGUAAAGCGUGCGCAGGCGGUGAUGUAAGACCGAUGUGAAAUCCCCGGGCUUAACCUGGGAACUGCAUUGGUGACUGCAUCGCUGGAGUAUGGCAGAGGGGGGUGGAAUUCCACGUGUAGCAGUGAAAUGCGUAGAGAUGUGGAGGAACACCGAUGGCGAAGGCAGCCCCCUGGGCCAAUACUGACGCUCAUGCACGAAAGCGUGGGGAGCAAACAGGAUUAGAUACCCUAGUAGUCC